AGUCACUGACAUUAGAUACCCCCGGUAGUCCAGGGUGUAAACGCUGCAGACUUGGUGUUGGAGGCCCUUUGGGGCAUUCAGUGCCGGAGAGAAGUUGUUAAGUCUGCUACUUGGGGAGUACGUCCGCAAGGAUGAACUUAAAGGAAUUGGCGGGGGAGCACCGCAACGGGAGGAGCGUGCGGUUUAAUUGGAUUCAACACCGUAAAACUCACCAGGGAAGACUGUUACAUGAAGGCCGAGAUGAAGACUCUGCUAGAUUUUCAG
Molecule: ribosomal RNA, 264 nt
Filed under: uncultured archaeon
Lineage: Archaea
Description: partial 16S ribosomal RNA
Rfam family: Archaeal small subunit ribosomal RNA
Source: RNAcentral